UUAUUUAAAAAUAUUGUGGCUUGAUGCUGACCUAUUACGACUAAAAUGUGAGCAAGUUGGUAGCUACAUUAAAAAAAGGAUUUGCCUUCCAUCUUCCCUUAGACACUUAAAUUUUCCAUCAUCUUCUUCCGUCUUCCUUGGUCUCAUUAGGGUAUUAAUAAUGAAGAAGAUUGUCUAGUUCGUACAAGAUCAUAUCCACGUAUCGAGAUCAUUAAGCGAGGACGAACUUGAUGUUGAGGUAUUUUUGCACUAACUUCGUUUUUAUGCUUCUUCUAACAACGUUGCUCUUAGCUUUACCGUUGGUGAUACCGGAAUUGCCACCCCCGCCGUUGAUACUUCUCUUCGUUCCUGUAUUGUUACUGUCGCUUCUUGUUUGCUUGGCCUUAUCUCCAUCAAGAUCUCCAAAUAUCAGCAUAGCUUUCGUUUGAGGUGGCGGAGUCACCGGAGAAGAGAGGUAGACCUUUUGCUAUUUUGGUGAAAUGGCGGUAGAAAGGGUGCGUCAGGCCUCAGGAUGAGGUGCCUCGGGUGGCGUGAGAGGAGCUGGGAAGGAAGCUUUCUCUGAGAAGAGUUUUUGGGUUAAGGAAAAUGAAGUGACACAGGUAGUGUGUAUCAGCUGUUUGCAUGGUUGUUUUUUUAUAGCAGGAGGUAAACUUAGCUACAAAUCUUGAGUUUAUUAAUGCAGAAGCUCGAUUUGAUACUUCAAGCAGAGACGAUGAUGCUACAUCUUAUGAUAAGACGUUUUAGGAUGACUGAAAAUCAAUUACUUUGAGCCUUCACAUUGUCCUCAAAUAGUUUUAGCAAAGAUGUCUAGUCCAAAAGUUCGUUGAGAUAAGGUUCACAAACUAGUUCAAAAUUUGCUAGUUGGCAGGUUGACCAUGCAUUGCCCGUUGUGCCAUUGACCCUGUCAAAAGACAUGUGUCAAAUUCUCUUUAAGUAUGCUGUGAGAUUCGCGAAGUCCACUACAUGGGUAUAAUAAAUAUAUACUACUAAAUUUUAGACAAUCAAAUAAAACAAACAUAAAAUUGGUAUUAUUAUAGUCCGAACAUCUCUAGCCUCAAUUAAAUAAUAAUAAGGAAUCCAAAAUUAUUUAGGCCUCUUUUUGGCCUUUCGAUUCUCCAAACUCAAAUCUGGAGUUGAUUUUAAAAAAAAAACUCGUCAAAAUAGUAGAAAUCCCUAAAGAACCUUUCGGUUUCUGGGUUUCGAAUACCCCUUUAUCCGAAAGAUGUCAUCUUUCAUCGGAGAUGACAGUCCUCGGCCACUCACGGCGGCAGAACGCAAAGAGUCAAGUAGGUUUUUAACCCCUUUUUUAUUUUAUGUUUUAUUUAUAAAAAAUAUUCGUAAAAAAUAAAAGAAAAGAAAAAUCACCUUUUGAAGUUUUGUGUUCUAUUUUUUAUUACUCUUGUGUGUUUUUUUUGUAAAAAGAUUACAUUUUUAAUCCGGCCUUUAUAGCCGAUUUACAUACUAUAUUUUACUGUUUUUGCUACUAUUUAGCCACUGUUCUUUGUUGUUUCUUUCUCUACUUCCGUGGUCCUUUUUCUUUCCCUUUUCUUGCAGGUGGCGGAGUCACCGGAGAAGAGAGGUAGACCUUUUGCUAUUUUGGUGAAAUGGCGGUAGAAAGGGUGCGUCAGGCCUCGGGAUGAGGUGCCUCGGGUGGCGUGAGAGGAGCGACGCCAAAAACCCUAGGGUUUCUGGCUAUUCUAAAGUUAGUUUAGGUUUUUGGGCCGUUGGGCCCUCUUCUUUUUUGGUAUUUGGGUUUUGUUUUCUGUAAAUAGACUGUUGUAAUUGGGUUUGUAAUUUAUUUUUGAUUUUAUUAUUUUUAUUUUUAUUUUUAUUUUUAUUUUUA
Molecule: long non-coding RNA, 1843 nt
Organism: Gossypium raimondii (Peruvian cotton)
Lineage: Eukaryota; Viridiplantae; Streptophyta; Magnoliopsida; Malvales; Malvaceae
Exons: 2
Source: RefSeq, a predicted model, not a curated record